CCUACGGGAGGCUGCAGUGGGGAAUAUUCGGCAAUGGGCGCAAGCCUGACCCAGCAACGCCGCGUGAAGGAAGAAGGCUUUCGGGUUGUAAACUUCUUUUCUCAGGGACGAAGAAAGUGACGGUACCUGAGGAAUAAGCCACGGCUAACUACGUGCCAGCCGCCGCGGUACUACGUAGGUGGCAAGCGUUAUCCGGAUUUACUGGGUGUAAAGGGCGUGGAGGCGGGAAAGAAAGUCAGAUGUGAAAACCAUGGGCUCAACCUGUGGCCUGCAUUUGAAACUGUUUUUCUUGAGUACUGGAGAGGCAGACGGAAUUCCUAGUGUAGCGGUGAAAUGCGUAGAUAUUAGGAGGAACACCAGUGGCGAAGGCGGUCUGCUGGACAGCAACUGACGCUGAGGCGCGAAAGCGUGGGGAGCAAACAGGAUUAGAUACCCCAGUAGUC
RNAcentral lists this ribosomal RNA (443 nucleotides) under uncultured bacterium. RNAcentral describes it as "partial 16S ribosomal RNA". It matches the Rfam family "Bacterial small subunit ribosomal RNA", at positions 338 to 795 of the family's 1533-position model. The record is from RNAcentral.